RNAcentral lists this ribosomal RNA (309 nucleotides) under uncultured soil bacterium. Its description in RNAcentral is "bacterial SSU rRNA". It matches the Rfam family "Bacterial small subunit ribosomal RNA", at positions 1082 to 1397 of the family's 1533-position model. The record is from RNAcentral.
AAGUCCCGUAACGAGCGCAACCCUUGUCAUUAGUUGCUACGAAAGGGCACUCUAAUGAGACUGCCGGUGACAAACCGGAGGAAGGUGGGGAUGACGUCAAGUCCUCAUGGCCCUUAUGGGUAGGGCUUCACACGUCAUACAAUGGUACAUACAGAGGGCCGCCAACCCGCGAGGGGGAGCUAAUCCCAGAAAGUGUAUCGUAGUCCGGAUCGUAGUCUGCAACUCGACUACGUGAAGUUGGAAUCGCUAGUAAUCGCGGAUCAGCAUGCCGCGGUGAAUACGUUCCCGGGUCUUGUACACACCGCCCGU